CCUACGGGUGGCAGCAGUGGGGAAUAUUGGACAAUGGGCGAAAGCCUGAUCCAGCCAUGCCGCGUGUGUGAAGAAGGCCUUCGGGUUGUAAAGCACUUUCAGUGGGGAAGAAAGCCUUGGGGCUAAUACCCUCGAGGAAGGACAUCACCCACAGAAGAAGCACCGGCUAACUCCGUGCCAGCAGCCGCGGUAAUACGGAGGGUGCGAGCGUUAAUCGGAAUUACUGGGCGUAAAGCGCGCGUAGGCGGUCUGAUAAGCCGGUUGUGAAAGCCCCGGGCUCAACCUGGGAACGGCAUCCGGAACUGUCAGGCUAGAGUGCAGGAGAGGAAGGUAGAAUUCCCGGUGUAGCGGUGAAAUGCGUAGAGAUCGGGAGGAAUACCAGUGGCGAAGGCGGUCUGCUGGACUGACACUGACGCUGAGGUGCGAAAGCGUGGGUAGCAAACAGGAUUAGAUACCCGAGUAGUC
This 465-nucleotide ribosomal RNA is filed under the name Vreelandella stevensii. RNAcentral describes it as "partial 16S ribosomal RNA". It matches the Rfam family "Bacterial small subunit ribosomal RNA", at positions 338 to 795 of the family's 1533-position model. Lineage: Bacteria; Pseudomonadati; Pseudomonadota; Gammaproteobacteria; Oceanospirillales; Halomonadaceae. The record is from RNAcentral.